AUUUUCCUUCACCUCUCUCUCUCUCUAGCCGAGACCCUCUCUCUCUACCCGGUCGCCGGAAAUCGCCGCCGGCGCCGUCGCCGGAAUCCGGAUUUCAACCAAAAUUUCCAGAUUUUCUCCUCUUCCUUCCCUCUUUCCAUUUCUCUAACCAAAAUCAUGAAAUUUAGCCAUUUAAUCCCCCAAAAACCCUAGAACCCGAAGCUAAAAUUGGGGCUUUUGUGAUUUCUUCUUUCCAAGCUCAAAUCAAGGUAUUUUCCAUCCUAAUCUAGCCUAUAUUCCUUCGAUCUAUACAUCUUUCUUCCUAAAUCCGAGUUUUUGAUUUGGGUUUGUGAUUUUGUUUGCAUGAACCCGAUUUCUCCUUGAACCAUGAAGCUAGGCUAUGGGUUUGGCAAGGAUUUUUGGUGAAGAAGGCCAAGGAGAAGGAAUAUGAUGUGAUUUUUGAAGAAGAAAGGGAAACACGAUCGUUAAGAAAGUUUAAGCGGGAAGCAGCAGAGUGUGGAAUACGCCGGCAUAUUCCAGGUAGGGUGAGCUGUCCCUUCCUUGUUAGAGGCUUUUCGAUAUAUGUGGAAUGCUCUAGUAAAAUAUUAUGUUGCCUGCAAGUAUGUUUUUGGUUGUUCAUUAGUCGAUGCCUCGU
This is a long non-coding RNA of Rosa chinensis, 634 nucleotides long. RefSeq lists it as uncharacterized. The record is from RefSeq and is a predicted model, not a curated record. The transcript has 3 exons. Lineage: Eukaryota; Viridiplantae; Streptophyta; Magnoliopsida; Rosales; Rosaceae.